This 659-nucleotide ribosomal RNA is filed under the name uncultured archaeon. RNAcentral's name for it is "bacterial SSU rRNA". It matches the Rfam family "Archaeal small subunit ribosomal RNA", at positions 21 to 683 of the family's 1478-position model. The record is from RNAcentral.
AGCCACUGCUAUCGGACUCCGACUAAGCCAUGCGAGUUUAGGGGCUCUUCGGAGCACCGGCAGACGGCUCAGUAACACGUGGACAACCUACCCUCAGGUGGGGGAUAACCUCGGGAAACUGAGGCUAAUACCCCAUAGGUCUUGGAUACUGGAAGGUUCCGAGGCUGAAAGCUCCGGCGCCUGAGGAUGGGUCUGCGGCCUAUCAGGUAGUUGGUGGUGUAAAGGACCACUAAGCCUGCGACGGGUACGGGCCCUGAGAUGGGGAGCCCGGAGAUGGACUCUGAGACACGAGUCCAGGCCCUACGGGGCGCAGCAGGCGCGAAACCUUCGCAAUGUGCGAAAGCGCGACGAGGGGAGUCCGAGCGCCCUUCCUUCGGGGAGGGCUUUUCCCAAGCCUAAAAAGCUUGGGGAAUAAGGGCUGGGCAAGACGGGUGCCAGCCGCCGCGGUAAUACCCGCAGCUCGAGUGGUGGCCACUAUUAUUGAGCCUAAAGCGUCCGUAGCCGGACCCGUAAAUCCCUGGGUAAAUCUCGGCGCUCAACGUCGAGAAUUUCGGGGAGACUGCGGGUCUUGGGACCGGGAGAGGCUGGAGGUACUCCCGGGGUAGCGGUGAAAUGCUGUAAUCCCGGGGGGACCACCUGUGGCGAAAGCGUCCAGCUUG